GACGAACGCUGGCGGCGUGCCUAAUACAUGCAAGUGGGACGCAAGGGAACACACUGUGCUUGCACACCGUGUUUUCUUGAGUCGCGAACGGGUGAGUAACGCGUAGGUAACCUGCCUAUUAGCGGGGGAUAACUAUUGGAAACGAUAGCUAAUACCGCAUAAUAUUAAUUAUUGCAUGAUAAUUGAUUGAAAGAUGCAAGCGCAUCACUAGUAGAUGGACCUGCGUUGUAUUAGCUAGUUGGUAAGGUAAGAGCUUACCAAGGCGACGAUACAUAGCCGACCUGAGAGGGUGAUCGGCCACACUGGGACUGAGACACGGCCCAGACUCCUACGGGAGGCAGCAGUAGGGAAUCUUCGGCAAUGGACGAAAGUCUGACCGAGCAACGCCGCGUGAGUGAAGAAGGUUUUCGGAUCGUAAAGCUCUGUUGUAAGUCAAGAACGUGUGUGAGAGUGGAAAGUUCACACAGGA
Molecule: ribosomal RNA, 469 nt
Filed under: Streptococcus mutans
Lineage: Bacteria; Bacillati; Bacillota; Bacilli; Lactobacillales; Streptococcaceae
Description: bacterial SSU rRNA
Rfam family: Bacterial small subunit ribosomal RNA
Source: RNAcentral